Molecule: small nuclear RNA, 107 nt
Filed under: Pelecanus crispus (Dalmatian pelican)
Lineage: Eukaryota; Metazoa; Chordata; Aves; Pelecaniformes; Pelecanidae
Source: RNAcentral
AUGCUUACUUUGGCAGCACAUGUACUAGAAUUGGAACGAUACAGAGAAGAUUGGCCUGGCCACUGCGCAAGGAUGACAUGCAAAUUCAUGAAGCGUUCCAUAUUUUA